AGUCUCUUAUGACUCAGUGAAGUUUCAAAAUGAAUACGUGGUGAACAAAGAUGCAACUGAUUUUAAUAAUGACAGACAUGGUA
Antechinus flavipes (yellow-footed antechinus) is the source of this 83-nucleotide long non-coding RNA. RefSeq lists it as uncharacterized. The record is from RefSeq and is a predicted model, not a curated record. Lineage: Eukaryota; Metazoa; Chordata; Mammalia; Dasyuromorphia; Dasyuridae. The transcript has 3 exons.